AGUUGAUCAUGGCUCAGGAUGGACGCUAGCGGCAGGCUUAACACAUGCAAGUCGAGGGGCAGCGGGAUGUAGCAAUACAUUGCCGGCGACCGGCGGAUGGGUGCGUAACGCGUAUGCAACCUACCUUAUACAGGGGAAUAACCUUUCGAAAGGGAGACUAACACCCCAUGGUAUUGAUUUAAGGCAUCUUAGAUUAAUUAAAUAUUUAUAGGUAUAAGAUGGGCAUGCGUAUGAUUAGCUAGUUGGUAAGGUAACGGCUUACCAAGGCGACGAUCAUUAGGGGUUCUGAGAGGAAGGUCCCCCCACACUGGUACUGAGACACGGACCAGACUCCUACGGGAGGCAGCAGUGAGGAAUAUUGGUCAAUGGGCGCAAGCCUGAACCAGCCAUGCCGCGUGCAGGAAAGACGGCCUUAUGGGUUGUAAACUGCUUUUACAUAAGACUAACCGUAUAUUUGCGAAUAUACCUGAAUGUAUUAUGAGAAUAAGGAUCGGCUAACUCCGUGCCAGCAGCCGC
Molecule: ribosomal RNA, 516 nt
Filed under: uncultured bacterium
Lineage: Bacteria
Description: bacterial SSU rRNA
Rfam family: Bacterial small subunit ribosomal RNA
Source: RNAcentral